RNAcentral lists this ribosomal RNA (614 nucleotides) under uncultured bacterium. RNAcentral describes it as "bacterial SSU rRNA". It matches the Rfam family "Bacterial small subunit ribosomal RNA", at positions 338 to 944 of the family's 1533-position model. The record is from RNAcentral.
CCUACGGGAGGCAGCAGUGGGGAAUAUUGCGCAAUGGGGGAAACCCUGACGCAGCAACGCCGCGUGAGUGAGGAAGGACUUCGGUCUGUAAAGCUCUGUUAAUGAGGAAAAAUGGUAGUUGGUCUAAUAGGCCGAUUAUUUGAUGGUACUCAUAGAGGAAGCACCGGCUAACUUCGUGCCAGCAGCCGCGGUAAUACGAAGGGUGCAAGCGUUGUUCGGAUUUAUUGGGCGUAAAGCGCGCGUAGGCGGACCUGCAAGUCAGAUGUGAAAUCUCGAGGCUCAACCUCGAAACUGCGUCUGAAACUACAGGUCUAGAAUCUCGGAGGGGGAAGGGGAAUUUCGCAUGUAGGGGUAAAAUCCGUAGAUAUGCGAAGGAACACCAGAGGCGAAGGCGCCUUCCUGGACGAGUAUUGACGCUGAGGCGCGAAAGCGUGGGGAUCAAACAGGAUUAGAUACCCUGGUAGUCCACGCUGUAAACGAUGAACACUAGGUAUUGGAGGAUUUGACCCCUUCAGUGCCGUAGCUAACGCGUUAAGUGUUCCGCCUGGGAAGUACGGUCGCAAGCUUAAACUCAAAGGAUUGACGGNNGNGAGNGCGAGCGACACGAGGAGAGG